This 429-nucleotide ribosomal RNA is filed under the name Pseudomonadota bacterium. RNAcentral's name for it is "Proteobacteria bacterium partial 16S ribosomal RNA". It matches the Rfam family "Bacterial small subunit ribosomal RNA", at positions 355 to 776 of the family's 1533-position model. The record is from RNAcentral. Lineage: Bacteria; Pseudomonadati; Pseudomonadota.
UGGGGAAUAUUGGACAAUGGGCGAAAGCCUGAUCCAGCCAUGCCGCGUGUGUGAAGAAGGUCUUCGGAUUGUAAAGCACUUUAAGUUGGGAGGAAGGGCAGUAAGCGAAUACCUUGCUGUUUUGACGUUACCGACAGAAUAAGCACCGGCUAACUCUGUGCCAGCAGCCGCGGUAAUACAGAGGGUGCAAGCGUUAAUCGGAAUUACUGGGCGUAAAGCGCGCGUAGGUGGUUCGUUAAGUUGAAUGUGAAAGCCCCGGGCUCAACCUGGGAACUGCAUCCAAAACUGGCGAGCUAGAGUAGGGCAGAGGGUGGUGGAAUUUCCUGUGUAGCGGUGAAAUGCGUAGAUAUAGGAAGGAACACCAGUGGCGAAGGCGAACACCUGGGCUCAUACUGACACUGAGGUGCGAGAGCGUGGGGAGCAAACAGG